UAUCAAGGAAGACCGACUAAGAACGCCACGCCUUGUGGCAACGCCGGCAUGACCUGGAUCCACCGGG
RNAcentral lists this small RNA (67 nucleotides) under Oceanobacillus picturae. Its description in RNAcentral is "Bacillaceae-1 RNA". It matches the Rfam family "Bacillaceae-1 RNA". Lineage: Bacteria; Bacillati; Bacillota; Bacilli; Caryophanales; Bacillaceae. The record is from Rfam by way of RNAcentral.